Molecule: long non-coding RNA, 4423 nt
Organism: Schistocerca nitens (vagrant locust)
Lineage: Eukaryota; Metazoa; Arthropoda; Insecta; Orthoptera; Acrididae
Exons: 3
Source: RefSeq, a predicted model, not a curated record
UCCAAUUAAAAUUGGUUUGUAUUGCACCUUUUCUAAAUUUUCCUCUUCCACUAAUAACCAAUCAUUAAUAGGUGAUAUUUUACUAUAAGCAAUCAUUUUACUUAUAUAUGGGCUGAAUUUUGUUCUUUGCCAUCCUGGAGUCUGGUCCUUGACCCAGGAUUGUUCUCAUUUUCAUCACCGUGGUCAGAUACCAAUUGCAAAUUACUUCAAUAAUACACUAAUUUGCUUCUGUGUCAUUAUUUCGUUGCAUAUUCAUUUGUUAGUUUUGAGUUUUAAACAACAGCAAGCUUAUGUUAUUUCUCCCCCCUCUAUGGUUAUUGUGAUUUAGACUGUUAUUCCUGCUGUGAACAGUACCAUUACUGCUUACUCUACAAUAAUCGGAUUCCUUCAUCUGCGGUAAGGAAUUAGGAAAGGAUUUGUUAUUGGAAUUCUCUGUAUUUCAGUCAUACACUGAAUAAUUUACAUUUCUUUCAAUAUUCAGCAUGGCUAAACCUUCAAUAAAUGUCAAUAACUCAUUCAGUUUUCCACCCUCUCUACAAUAUUCCUUGUCGAGUGUGGUAUGGUAAACAUGUACUGAGUACUUUUACUUGGUGCAUUUCAUCUAUUGGAUCAUCUAAGUACUUCGAUUUUGUCAAAUGCCAUUCUAUGUACUUUUCAUAUGUGCCCCAUGAAUUAUAGUAUGGAGCAGGGUCUAAUAAAUUUAAGAUUAAUUUUUCCCGAGUACUUGAUGAUGAGUACUUACUCUUAAAGCUUUCUUCAAAAUCUUUCCAAUACACAAAUUCUUCUUCGUGAGCAUUUCCCCAUUCUGCAGCACCUCCCAUUAAAUAUCCUAAUGUUAAAUCUAUUUUCUUUGUCAUCCCACUUUUUAGGCAAAAAUCUGGCCAACACUCUUAAAAAAUAAAUUGGGUGUACAUCACCAUCUGGUUUAUACUUUGGAAAUUGCUUUGCUAAAUUAAACUCAUUUCCUAUAUAUAAAAACCUCCAUUUCAUCUUUAGUUACUCCUUUACUACUUUCUGUUAUCGCCUAUUGCUUCCCAUAUCCUAUAAAGUUCUUGUUUACUGUUAAUUGACCUUCCCCAGAAGUGAUAUUGUUAUUUAUUUUUGUUUUGUCUUUUACUUCUUGUUCUAUGAGUAACUGUAAACAUUUUUCCAAAUGUUGUAUAGCAUCAGGUGUCCUUAUUACAACAUUUUUCUGUAUGGACAUGAUAAGCUUGUUGGCAGCUGAAAUACCUCGUACCACUUCGAAUCAGGAAUUCACAUUAUCUACAUAGCCCGUCCACCGUCGGGUUGUUGUUCUGUGUACACUUUCUUGUAAAUCAUCUGCUAACACUUGUUGUACCUCUACUAACACAGAUUCUCGUAAUUCAUUUACUUCAGAGUUUAUUUCCAUUAUUUUAAUGUUUUGAUUAUUAAUUUGUACAUUAAAGUUAGAAUCUAAGUUAGCUUUAACCUCUUGUAUUUUAUGGCUUAGUAUGUCCUCUAUUGAUUCAGUAAUUUGUUCUUUAAUGGACUUAAUUAAUUCUAGUUGUUCCGCUUUCCAUCCUUCCUUAUCUUUCUCUGUUUGUUCUUUAAUUAUACCUUCUAGUAUCGAUCUUAACCCCUCGUUUUGCAUUUCCAUCUUUCUUGUGAUUGGAAUGCACUAUUUAUUACCAAUCAACAAUAUUAGCAUUAAACCUAUACUAACACUACUGUUUCUACUUUUUAAAUGUUUACGGCUCAUCCUUCUGGGGAGCUGUGAACUGCAUGUUGGUAGCAGAACAGCCGAAGCUGGUGCUGAAGCCUGGUCUCGUGCUGCACACUGCCGCUGACUGGACAACCCAGCACCCCAUACUUGAGUAACUGCUCACGACUCUGUGUUGAUAACUCCCUCUGGAUCAAUGUCCGCCAUAUGCGUUAUCCAGUCAAAACAAUUUUGUUAAGUUUUGAACUAAUUCUGUGCAGUCAUUGCUUGUAAUGUGGGUGCACUUUCUGCUGCCACGUUCUCCUUCUUUCUUUCUGUUUCAGAUUUGUGACAGUAAAUUAUAUUUUGCAUUCAUUAUGUGUUUACUAUUCUUUCUUAGACAAUUUGUUCGAAAGAAGCUCUUAAUUAUUUUUAUUUCUUGUUACAUGCAUUAUAAGGUACUGUUGUUGAUCGCUAGUUGCCAGUGGCAACUUCUGUCUUCUAAUCUUUGGAGUCGUAAUUCUGACUCAAAUUAAAAUCCUGCUGUUGUAUAUGUUGUAAGAUUUGCAGUGCAUCUUAUACCAGCACUAGCAAGAAGUUGCUUCCCUGGCCGAUAUAACAGGGCAAUAUUUUGCCGACCCCAAGUAGUAUUACCUUUAUCCUCUCUUCUCAGAGUAGUUUUAUGGUGGUCUGGAUCCUUCCAUGCCACCUCCCUGUUGAUUAAACUGUAGUGGAGAUUUCUGGAAUGCUUCUGUAAGUUCUCGCUGUUGCGCUACUAAAUAAAUAGCCGCACUUCUCACAAACAGGGGUAUAUUUUGCCCAGCAUUUUCACUAUUACUUUUCACAGCACAACUAACAAUUGCUACGGUAAUACUACUCUCUUGAGUACAUUCAAACGACAGUACAUGUGUACUCUAGGACCUGAGAGAAAAAACCAGAAAAUCAACUACCGCUCUUAAAUUGUUCAUUACGCUGUUGUUGAUGGGUCAUUUACUCCAAGGCCCUUGGAUUCAGGCAGUUGCUGCACCACGGCACAAAUGACUCCCGGACGACCAGUGCUUGUGGUACCAUUUUUACUGGUCCCCUUCUUGCCAGCUCCACCACUGCUCCACAUUUGCUACAUACAAGAAAGGAAAACACACAGUUUCCCUUUCUCGCUACAUUUAUCCUUAUUCAAUUUACUCACGAGCCUCUCAACUGUGUAACAUGUGACUGUAUGAAAGCAUGCCACAGGAGUUGCAACAAGUAUUGGGUAUUUUGGUUUCCACGUUUGUCAUUGAUUUUUAAAAAUUGGCUUUUUUUGUAUUCAAGGUUUUUAUCAAAUAAACCUUGCAUAUGUAGAGGAAUUUAUUUUUUAAAUAUACAAAUUUAUGCUUAUUUGACAUGUAACAUUGUAUUGUGUCAAUUUGAUUCUAAGUUCACAUUUUCUGUCUUUUGUUGCAGUGAAACGAGUUCUUAACAAGGUUGUGUGAUGUCCCCUGAUGAGUUCUGUUCUGCCCGUGGUGAACACAGUUUAUUGAAAAAUAGACAGAACAUCACUAACUUCAUAAAGUAAACAUAUUUGGCAUCUUUGGUAUUCAUCUUGUGGAUAAAGAACAGCCAAGCACUCCCUAUGGGGCAGCAUCAAUUUCACCUGACAACUCUUGUAUGGCUGCCCUUAUUUUUUCUUGUAAGAUCUGUUGCAACCUUCAUCAGAAGAAGAUGAUUUAUGGAAAAUGGUCUCUGGAUGAAAACACACACAACACUGGUGCAAUAUUCUACAAUAUUUAUUAUUUGUUCCACAAACUGCUUAUUGGCCAUCAUCUGGUACAAAGUUAAGUGUACGGUGCAGAGAUAUUUGGUUGGAUCAAAGAUUUUAAACCAGUGCAUCUACACUGUAUCUUCAUUUCCAGAUAUGAAAAUACACUCCUGGAAAUGGAAAAAAGAACACAUUGACACCGGUGUGUCAGACCCACCAUACUUGCUCCGGACACUGCGAGAGGGCUGUACAAGCAAUGAUCACACGCACGGCACAGCGGACACACCAGGAACCGCGGUGUUGGCCGUCGAAUGGCGCUAGCUGCGCAGCAUUUGUGCACCGCCGCCGUCAGUGUCAGCCAGUUUGCCGUGGCAUACGGAGCUCCAUCGCAGUCUUUAACACUGGUAGCAUGCCGCGACAGCGUGGACGUGAAUCGUAUGUGCAGUUGAUGGACUUUGAGCGAGGGCGUAUAGUGGGCAUGCGGGAGGCCGGGUGGACGUACCGCCGAAUUGCUCAACACGUGGGGCGUGAGGUCUCCACAGUACAUCGAUGUUGUCGCCAGUGGUCGGCGGAAGGUGCACGUGCCCAUCGACCUGGGACCGGACCGCAGCGACGCACGGAUGCACGCCAUACCGUAGGAUCCUACGCAGUGCCGUAGGGGACCGCACCGCCACUUCCCAGCAAAUUAGGGACACUGUUGCUCCUGGGGUAUCGGCGAGGACCAUUCGCAACCGUCUCCAUGAAGCUGGGCUACGGUCCCGCACACCGUUAGGCCGUCUUCCGCUCACGCCCCAACAUCGUGCAGCCCGCCUCCAGUGGUGUCGCGACAGGCGCGCCAGGUGGAAAUGGCAUGGCAAGCCGUUCCACAGGACUACAUCCAGCAUCUCUACGAUCUUCUCCAUGGGAGAAUAGCAGCCUGCAAUGAAAUAAGAUUAUUUCAGUGUAAAUGUAAUAUAAUCUUUUGUAACUAAGAGAAAAUAUGUGACAAAUCAACAGAUGAAUGAUGUACAAAUUAAAACAGUUGU